GGGCCAGAUCCCAGUCUCGGUGACAUCAGCGUCAAGCCACUAAAGCCAAUGUCGCUCCUCCGGCCCACUCGAUGCUGUUUGUGAGCGCCAGUGCGGUUCUGAGGCCCUUUCUAAAGAGGGCCUCCAUGAUGAUGGAUAAGCAGGAGACGCAGUUCUGUCUGCAUGCUGCUUUAAGGUGGUAAAACUCUAUGGAUCACCAAGGAAAUCCGGUGUUCGGAUUUACUGGGGACAUUCUCAGAGGUAGGAGCCAGCCCCGGAGGAGACUGGCAGAGAGCUGUGUGGCGAAGGGUUACUGCGUUCUCCCCACCCUCCCUCUGUCUGUGCGGCGCUUCCUGCAUUACAUAUUUGUCUUUAUCCUGGUGCAUUGCCGGCUGCGCUGCCCGGGAAAGGAGCGUAUUGGUGCUGAGGGAUGAUUUCCUAGCAUGUAGGAACCAGCCAUGCCCCAGCGCCGCUGCAGAUCCGAGAGCUCUAAUCCCCCUUCCCCAAUCCCUUCAAAGCACGACGGAGGAAAAAACACCCCAAGAGCCGGACCCAGUGUCUCCAUCCUCAACGGAAGCACGGACGGCGUCUUGUACUUACCCUCUGAGGGUCUCUUCUUGCUACUGAAGAACAAAGAAGCUCUCUCCUGUAUUCCAGCUGAGCAUUCCUCCUUCGGUAGCAGGGGGCUCCUUAGGACGUCCAGGAUUGGAAUAAAAAUACCGCUGGGCCAGGCUGCGGAACAAGGAGCUGCAUCAGUCCUGGCCUUCAGUGCAGGAGCUGGCCUUUUGCUUUGGAAAUGGAUGGCAGUUAUUUGUAUUCUCUUAACACGGGCCGGGCCCACCGCUGCUUGCUUUGCCUCAGAGGGCACGGACCAGGGCCCCUUGCGCGAGGGGCUGCAAAGGACAGGACAAAAAGAUGGUCCCUGCCCCCAGCUAACAGACUGGCUCCCAGCUACCGGCAUCCAGCACAUCAAGUAAAGCGUUAUAGUCUUUGAGAUCAUCCAUUCUGCCCCUCUUUCCUUACUGAAAUCCUUAAUGUUGUGUAGCUCAGGGCUGGGCAAACUUUUUGGCCCGAGGGCCACAUUGAGGUUGCAAAACUAUGGAGGGCCAGGUAAGGAAGGCUGUGCCUCCCCAAACAGCCUGG
Molecule: long non-coding RNA, 1122 nt
Filed under: Chrysemys picta bellii (western painted turtle)
Lineage: Eukaryota; Metazoa; Chordata; Testudines; Emydidae
Description: lncRNA (ENSCPBG00000011132.1)
Source: RNAcentral